GUGCUCACUAAAAACUUAAGUCCCUUCCAUGUGGUUGUGACAGCCAGUAAGUGAGCUAGAUAAUUAGUACUGGAUUGGGGGUGUCAUAUACCAGCUCAUAUGAUACACCACAGUUUUCAGUACAACA
RNAcentral lists this small nucleolar RNA (127 nucleotides) under Notamacropus eugenii (tammar wallaby). RNAcentral's name for it is "Small Cajal body specific RNA 23 (ENSMEUG00000018283.1)". It matches the Rfam family "Small Cajal body specific RNA 23". From Rfam's summary of the family: scaRNAs are a specific class of small nuclear RNAs which localise to the Cajal bodies and guide the modification of RNA polymerase II transcribed spliceosomal RNAs U1, U2, U4, U5 and U12. ACA11 belongs to the H/ACA box class of guide RNAs as it has the predicted hairpin-hinge-hairpin-tail structure,the conserved H/ACA-box motifs and is found associated with GAR1. The record is from RNAcentral. Lineage: Eukaryota; Metazoa; Chordata; Mammalia; Diprotodontia; Macropodidae.